AUUGAACGCUGGCGGCAGGCCUAACACAUGCAAGUCGAACGGUAACAGAAAGCAGCUUGCUGCUUUGCUGACGAGUGGCGGACGGGUGAGUAAUGUCUGGGAAACUGCCUGAUGGAGGGGGAUAACUACUGGAAACGGUAGCUAAUACCGCAUAACGUCGCAAGACCAAAGAGGGGGACCUUCGGGCCUCUUGCCAUCGACUGUGCCCAGAUGGGAUUAGCUAGUAGGUGGGGUAACGGCUCACCUAGGCGACGAUCCCUAGCUGGUCUGAGAGGAUGACCAGCCACACUGGAACUGGGUCACGGUCCAGACUCCGACGGGAGGGAGCAGUGGGGAAUAUUGCACAAUGGGCGCAAGCCUGAUGCAGCCAUGCCGCGUGUAUGAAGAAGGCCUUCGGGUUGUAAAGUACUUUCAGCGAGGAGGAAGGUGUUGUGGUUAAUAACCACAGCAAUUGACGUUACUCGCAGAAGAAGCACCGGCUAACUCCGUGGCAGCCGCCGCUGUAA
RNAcentral lists this ribosomal RNA (506 nucleotides) under uncultured bacterium. Its description in RNAcentral is "partial 16S ribosomal RNA". It matches the Rfam family "Bacterial small subunit ribosomal RNA", at positions 30 to 523 of the family's 1533-position model. The record is from RNAcentral.